This 30-nucleotide non-coding RNA is filed under the name Homo sapiens (human). The record is from RNAcentral. Lineage: Eukaryota; Metazoa; Chordata; Mammalia; Primates; Hominidae.
CACAAGUACUUUCUCAGUGAUGUUGGCUCC